Molecule: ribosomal RNA, 253 nt
Filed under: uncultured bacterium
Lineage: Bacteria
Description: partial 16S ribosomal RNA
Rfam family: Bacterial small subunit ribosomal RNA
Source: RNAcentral
GACGAACCGUACGAGCGUUAUUCGGAAUCACUGGGCUUAAAGGGUGCGUAGGCGGCGCAGUAAGUUGGGUGUGAAAUCCCUCGGCUUAACCGAGGAAUUGCGCCCAAAACUACUGUGCUCGAGGGAGGUAGAGGUGAGCGGAACUUAGGGUGGAGCGGUGAAAUGCGUUGAUAUCCUAAGGAACACCGGUGGCGAAAGCGGCUCACUGGACCUCUUCUGACGCUGAGGCACGAAAGCUAGGGUAGCAAACGGG